Molecule: long non-coding RNA, 1165 nt
Filed under: Sus scrofa (pig)
Lineage: Eukaryota; Metazoa; Chordata; Mammalia; Artiodactyla; Suidae
Description: lncRNA (ENSSSCG00040026889.1)
Source: RNAcentral
GAUCCCCACUGUUCUCCAACCAAAUAAUCUUUCAAUAACAUAUUUUCUUACAAUAGAUCGUUAUAUAUGUCAUCACCUCACUUGUGAUUGCUGCAUUAAUUAGGGCAAAAACCCUACAGAAGCAAAUGUCUCCACAUCUAUCCUUGAUAAGGUGAUAUUUAAUAAAUAUCCACCUGACAAAGAGGAACUUUUGGAGCCAUUUGAAGCUCUUAGGGACUUAAGCAUUUAUAACAUGUAGUACACUUGGAUGAAUCAUUGUCAGUUAUGAAACAUACGGAUUUGGUUAUGCAUGGCUACGUUUGAGUAGAUUUGGUCCAUACCAGCUAUUUUCCAUUCAUUCUAACCUAUGAAAUGGGAACCAAGUCACAAGAGUGAGUUCAGGCUUUUUAACAAUAAACUUUCUGGCAUUUCCACCACUUCUGAAAGUGUCUGCAUGUGUUCCUUGUAAGAAGUUUGAAAAGUUAUAAAUNUGAAUCGGAGCUGUAGCCACCGGCCCACGCCAGAUCCUUAACCCACUGAGCAAGGCCAGGGAUCGAACCCGCAACCUCAUGGUUCCUAGUCGCAUUUGUUAACCACUGAGCCACGAUGGGAACUCCGCCAAGUGCGUCUUGAUCCAUUCUUCUGAGCAUGCCUCUUAUGAUGCUAGGAAGGUCUAACUCUGAAUUAUGUUUGAUAUUCAGGGGAGAACAAUCUGGCAGUGAGCUGACUUCUACCAAAGCAACCUGGAUCAGGAAGCUGGUGGAGGAGAGCCUGGAACCCCUUUGUGGUUAAAUGAGGUGCUUUUCCUGAUGGGCAAAAUACACAGCAGGGGCCGAGGGUGCUGCAAGCUUAAGGAUGUAAGAUGAUGACAACCAUAAGCAAAAGAACACAAUUUGAAGAUCUGGUAAGUACAAGAGAGAUAUUUAUAGAUAUUAAUCAAUUAUCUUGACAUUAUUUUUCUGUUUUAAGUAUUUGUCUUUUUCUUGAGUCCCUAUGAAUAAUGGUACUGCUCGUGAGCCUGACCUUUUCAAGAAAAAUGCUAUACUUCUAUAAUUAUAUUUGAGAGACAUAACAUUAUUUGAAUAGGCAUCUCAGUAUUAUUCAGACAUAUUGUAAUAUUACCAGGACUUAAAGUCUUUGAAUAAUGCAAACUUUCCUAACAUUACUCAUCACAUUUAGUGUAGGC